UGGGGAAUAUUGCACAAUGGGCGCAAGCCUGAUGCAACCAUGCCGCGUGUGUGAAGAAGGCCUUCGGGUUGUAAAGCACUUUCAGCGGGGAGGAAGGCGGUGAGGUUAAUAACCUCACCGAUUGACGUUACCCGCAGAAGAAGCACCGGCUAACUCCGUGCCAGCAGCCGCGGUAAUACGGGGGGUGCACGCGUUAAUCGGAAUUACUGGGGGUAAAGCGCAAGCAGGCGGUCUGUCAAGUCGGAUGUGAAAUCCCCGGGCUCAACCUGGGACCUGCAUUCGAAACUGGCAGGCUAGAGUCUGGUAGAGGGGGGUGGAAUUCCAGGUGUAGCGGUGAAAUGCGUAGAGAUCUGGAGGAAUACCGGUGGCGAAGGCGGCCCCCUGGACAAAGACUGACGCUCAGGUGCGAAAGCGUGGGGGGCAAACAGG
Molecule: ribosomal RNA, 429 nt
Filed under: Chloroflexota bacterium
Lineage: Bacteria; Bacillati; Chloroflexota
Description: Chloroflexi bacterium partial 16S ribosomal RNA
Rfam family: Bacterial small subunit ribosomal RNA
Source: RNAcentral